GACAGAGGGGGCAAGCGUUGUCCGGAAUUACUGGGCGGACAGGGCACGCAGGUGGCUGUAUAGGUGGCGUGUGAAAGCCCCGCGCUUAACGCGGGGAGGCCACGCCAAACGGUGCGGCUCAAGCGAUGCAGAGGGUGGUGGAAUUGCCGGUGUAGUGGUGAAAUGCGUAGAUAUAGGAAGGAAUACCAGUGGCGAAGGCGGCCUCCUGGAUCAACACUGACGCUGAGGUGCGAAAGCGUGGGGAGCAAACAGG
RNAcentral lists this ribosomal RNA (253 nucleotides) under uncultured bacterium. RNAcentral's name for it is "partial 16S ribosomal RNA". It matches the Rfam family "Bacterial small subunit ribosomal RNA", at positions 524 to 776 of the family's 1533-position model. The record is from RNAcentral.